RNAcentral lists this ribosomal RNA (490 nucleotides) under uncultured bacterium. RNAcentral describes it as "partial 16S ribosomal RNA". It matches the Rfam family "Bacterial small subunit ribosomal RNA", at positions 29 to 507 of the family's 1533-position model. The record is from RNAcentral.
AGUGAACGCUGGCGGCAGGCCUAACACAUGCAAGUCGAACGGCAGCACAAGAGAGCUUGCUCUCUGGGUGGCGGGUGGCGGACGGGUGAGGAAUGCAUCGGAAUCUGCCCAUUUGUGGGGGAUAACCUCGGGAAACCGGGACUAAUACCGCAUACGACCUACGGGUGAAAGCAGGGGAUCUUCGGACCUUGCGCAGAUGGAUGAGCCGAUGCCGGAUUAGCUAGUUGGAGGGGUAAAGGCCCACCAAGGCGACGAUCCGUAGCUGGUCUGAGAGGAUGAUCAGCCACACUGGGACUGAGACACGGCCCAGACUCCUACGGGAGGCAGCAGUGGGGAAUAUUGGACAAAGGGCGCAAGCCUGAUCCAGCCAUGCCGCGUGUGUGAAGAAGGCCUUCGGGUUGUAAAGCACUUUUGUUGGGAAAGAAAAGCAGCCGGUUAAUACCCGGUUGUCAUGACGGUACCCAAAGAAUAAGCACCGGCUAACUUCGUG